GUGUUCGCUUCGGCAGCACAUAUAAAAUUGGAACGAUACAGAGAAGAUUAGCAUGGCCCCUGUGCAAGGAUGACACGCAAAUUCGUGACGCGUUCCAUAUUUUU
This 104-nucleotide small nuclear RNA is filed under the name Moschus moschiferus (Siberian musk deer). Lineage: Eukaryota; Metazoa; Chordata; Mammalia; Artiodactyla; Moschidae. The record is from RNAcentral.